UACGGGGGGGGUAAGCGUUGUUCGGAAUUACUGGGCGUAAAGGGCUCGUAGGCGGCCAACUAAGUCAUACGUGAAAUCCCUCAGCUUAACUGGGGAACUGCGUCUGAUACUGGAUGGCUGGAGUUUGGGAGAGGGAUGCGGAAUUCCAGGUGUAGCGGUGAAAUGCGUAGAUAUCUGGAGGAACACCGGUGGCGAAGGCGGGUCUCUGGGCAACUACUGACGCUGAGGAGCGAAAGCGUGGGGAGCGAACAGG
Molecule: ribosomal RNA, 253 nt
Filed under: uncultured bacterium
Lineage: Bacteria
Description: partial 16S ribosomal RNA
Rfam family: Bacterial small subunit ribosomal RNA
Source: RNAcentral